UACGUAGGGUGCAAGCGUUAAUCGGAAUUACUGGGCGUAAAGCGUGCGCAGGCGGUUUUGUAAGUCUGUCGUGAAAUCCCCGGGCUCAACCUGGGAAUUGCGAUGGAGACUGCAAGGCUAGAAUCUGGCAGAGGGGGGUAGAAUUCCACGUGUUGAGCAGUGGAAAUGACGUAGAGAUGUGGAGGAACACCGAUGGCGAAGGCAGCCCCUGGGUCAAGAU
This 220-nucleotide ribosomal RNA is filed under the name uncultured bacterium. RNAcentral's name for it is "partial 16S ribosomal RNA". It matches the Rfam family "Bacterial small subunit ribosomal RNA", at positions 524 to 740 of the family's 1533-position model. The record is from RNAcentral.